This 679-nucleotide ribosomal RNA is filed under the name Bremia lactucae (lettuce downy mildew). RNAcentral describes it as "LSU rRNA". It matches the Rfam family "Eukaryotic large subunit ribosomal RNA", at positions 87 to 634 of the family's 3401-position model. The record is from RNAcentral. RNAcentral also lists the same sequence under 1 other name. Lineage: Eukaryota; Oomycota; Peronosporomycetes; Peronosporales; Peronosporaceae.
CGGCGAGUGAAGCGGGAUGAGCUCAAGCUUAAAAUCUCCAUGCAAAUUUUGCAUGGCGAAUUGUAGUCUAUAGAGGCGUGAUUAGCGUAGGCACUUGGGGUAAGUUCCUUGGAAGAGGACAGCAUCGAGGGUGAUACUCCCGUUUUUCCCCGAGUUGCUUAUGCGUACAAUCCGUUUUCUUUGAGUCGCGUUGUUUGAGAAUGCAGCGCAAAGUAGGUGGUAAAUUCCAUCUAAAGCUAAAUAUUGGUGCGAGACCGAUAGCAUACAAGUACCGUGAGGGAAAGAUGAAAAGAACUUUGAAAAGAGAGUUAAAGAGUACCUGAAACUGCUGAAAGGGAACCAAAUCGUUUUUAGUGUUCAUAAUCCGUGGUAUAUUCCAUUGGCGAAUGUGUGCGUGCGUGUACUAUGGCAGCGGCUUUUUGCUGCGCCUUGUGUGUGUGUGCAUUUUCUUGCCGAUGCCCUGUACCGUGGUGGGACGUCAUUGUCGGUUCGUAAACUGCGGGAAAUGACUGCCGAGGAGGUAGGGCGAACGCUUGCGUUUGUCUGUUAUAUCUUGGCGGACGUAGUAGUCGCGGUUGGGACUGAGGUGCCUACAAUGUGCUUAUAUGAGUGGGAUCGAGUCUCCUUUUGCGCUGUGUGCGAAUAGCUUGCUAUGCGUGUGUGGCUGCAUGUGGAUUGA